RNA transcript from Arachis stenosperma, 1047 nucleotides. RefSeq lists it as uncharacterized. The record is from RefSeq and is a predicted model, not a curated record. NCBI's taxonomy places the organism in Eukaryota, Viridiplantae, Streptophyta, Magnoliopsida, Fabales, Fabaceae. The transcript has 8 exons.
AAAGGAGCAGGUUUAUGGUUGCGGUUCAUACACUUCAGACAUGGCUACCACCACCAGUAGAACCCUGCUGAAGGAGAUGCUGCACCUCUCUUCCACGGUUCCUUUCUCUUUUUCUCUUCGUCUUCGUGCUCUUCCAUCUCUAUCACUCUCUUCAUCUCACCUUAACUUGAACCUUCAGUUUCGGCGCUCUCGCCCUUCCACUCCCUUCACUCCAAUUCGAUGCGUUUCUUCUUCGGGUCCCGGCGAUGGCGGAAACAAGGUAUCUUCUCGUCUCUCUCAGGUUCACCAGCUUCUCCAAGAAGCUGAAGAACGAGCUCUCUCAGCUGACACUGGUCCCACUCCUAAAAUCACCUUAGAUCAUGUUACGGUGAGCUAUGCCAGAAGUGGUGGACCUGGGGGUCAAAAUGUGAAUAAAGUGAACACCAAGGUGGACAUGCGAUUCAAUGUUAAAAAUGCAUAUUGGCUAAGUGACAGGAUCAGGGAGAGAAUUAUGCAAAUGGAAAAAAACCGAAUUAAUAAGGAUGGGGAGCUUGUGAUUUCUUCCACAAGAACUAGAACACAGAAGGGUAACAUUGAGGAUGCUUUGGCAAAACUUCAGGAAAUCAUUGAUGCAGCAGCAUAUGUCCCACCACCUCCCUCUGAAGAGCAAAAGAAGAAAAUUGCGAAGAUGUAAGAGCACUUCACUUUUGUAUUUCCUCAGUCUUCAGGUUAAAUACGAAUUAUUCUAGGGCUGCAAUAGGAGAGCAGAAACGCCUCAAAAGCAAGAAGGUGCUUUCAGACAAGAAAGCGUUCAGAAGAAGCAAAAAUAGUUGGGACUAACACAUUCAUUUCCAGAUGGUGAACUUGUACAUUAUUUUUAUCAUUGACUACAGGUUACAGGCACCAUAAUUGGACUAUAAAAUAGAAAUAUUGGACCAGCAUAGCACAACACCUCUGGAGUUGUUACCUACUGAUACAAGGCCAAAAUUAUGAUGUACUAUCUAGGACUUGAUGAAUAUAGAAAUAUCAAUUUGAUUUUAUCCUUACAAUGUUUCCAAUUUUCCUCAA